RNAcentral lists this transfer RNA (97 nucleotides) under Actinoplanes derwentensis. RNAcentral's name for it is "tRNA-Arg". Lineage: Bacteria; Bacillati; Actinomycetota; Actinomycetes; Micromonosporales; Micromonosporaceae. The record is from RNAcentral.
CGCCGGGCUCGGUGAGGGCGACGUCUUGCUGGGUUUCGGGCUCGGCGAGGGGGACUUGGACUGGACCCGGCUCUUGCUCGGUUCCGGCUCGGGCUCC